Molecule: ribosomal RNA, 253 nt
Filed under: uncultured bacterium
Lineage: Bacteria
Description: partial 16S ribosomal RNA
Rfam family: Bacterial small subunit ribosomal RNA
Source: RNAcentral
UACGUAGGUGACAAGCGUUGUCCGGAUUUACUGGGCGUAAAGAGCACGCAGGCGGUCGAUCAAGUCGAGUGUGAAAGCCCCCGGCUCAACUGGGGAGGGUCAUUCGAUACUGAUCGACUCGAAGGCAGGAGAGGGUAGUGGAAUUCCCGGUGUAGUGGUGAAAUGCGUAGAUAUCGGGAGGAACACCAGUGGCGAAGGCGACUACCUGGCCUGUUCUUGACGCUGAGGCGCGAAAGCUAGGGGAGCAAACGGG